GAUGAACGCUGGCAGCGUGCCUAAUACAUGCAAGUCGAGCGAACGGACGAGAAGCUUGCUUCUCUGAUGUUAGCGGCGGACGGGUGAGUAACACGUGGAUAACCUACCUAUAAGACUGGGAUAACUUCGGGAAACCGGAGCUAAUACCGGAUAAUAUUUUGAACCGCAUGGUUCAAAAGUGAAAGACGGUCUUGCUGUCACUUAUAGAUGGAUCUGCGCUGCAUUAGCUAGUUGGUAAGGUAACGGCUUACCAAGGCAACGAUGCAUAGCCGACCUGAGAGGGUGAUCGGCCACACUGGAACUGAGACACGGUCCAGACUCCUACGGGAGGCAGCAGUAGGGAAUCUUCCGCAAUGGGCGAAAGCCUGACGGAGCAACGCCGCGUGAGUGAUGAAGGUCUUCGGAUCGUAAAACUCUGUUAUUAGGGAAGAACAUAUGUGUAAGUAACUGUGCACAUCUUGACGGUACCUAAUCAGAAAGCCACGGCUAACUACGUG
This 497-nucleotide ribosomal RNA is filed under the name uncultured bacterium. RNAcentral describes it as "partial 16S ribosomal RNA". It matches the Rfam family "Bacterial small subunit ribosomal RNA", at positions 28 to 507 of the family's 1533-position model. The record is from RNAcentral.